This 3108-nucleotide unclassified non-coding RNA is filed under the name Megachile rotundata (alfalfa leafcutting bee). Its description in RNAcentral is "apyrase, transcript variant X2". The record is from RNAcentral. Lineage: Eukaryota; Metazoa; Arthropoda; Insecta; Hymenoptera; Megachilidae.
GCGUCCGAUUUGCUAAGAAUUUUUAACCGAUUUCGAAAAAGCAGUGGUCAGUGAAUUUUUGGUGGAAUUCGGACAGUUAAUUAUUUAACACUCGCGAAAAUUGGGUCAUCCACGAUAAUCUGAGGCGUGUGAUCUGGAGCGAGUAAACACUUCUUUCAUUGAGAACGUUCAUUCUUGAGAAAGAGAGCAAACUUGCAAUCUAUUAUUUUCAUGCUUUGUUGCAGUCAUCGAUGUAAACAAACAAAUUGCAUGCCAAUUGAUAUACUUUCGUGUUGCAAUUUUAUCUGCGGAAGAGCUUUUGCAAAUAUUUUAUCUUUCAAUGGUACAAGGAUUUAGUUCAUGAUGCAAUUCCUCUUAUUAUUGCUAUUUCUCUUCCAAGUAUCUCCAGGGCGAGCAGAUUUAUUUGAGCUUUCGGUGAUACACCUAAACGAUUUCCAUGCAAGAUUUGAGCAAACGGGUCCUCGAUCAGGAGUAUGUCACAAAGAAAACGAAAAGGAAUGUGUCGGUGGAAUAGCAAGAAUAUCGACGGCAGUGAAUCGAUUAAUGAAAGAUAGACCAAAUCCAAUUUUCCUGAAUGCCGGUGACAACUUUCAAGGAACAUUUUGGUACAACGUCCAUCGUUGGAAUGUGACAGCAACUUUCAUGAACAUGUUACCGCACGACGUUAUGACAUUAGGAAAUCACGAAUUCGAUAACAACGUGGAGGGUGUCGUUCCUUAUUUGAAAGCGGUUAAAGCUCCGGUGGUGGUCACGAAUAUAGACGCAACUGAAGAACCAACGAUGCAGGGACUGUACAAAAACAGUACAAUCAUCGAGAGAGGCGGCAGGAAAAUCGGAGUUAUCGGCGUCAUUUUAUCGACUACAAACACAAUCGCCGUGACGGGGAAAUUAAAGUUUCUGGACGAGGUGGAAACGGUGAACGCCGAGGCACGUAGAUUAAAGUCUCAAGGAGUUCACAUUAUUAUCGUUUUGAGUCAUUGUGGUUUAGACGUGGACAGAAUAAUGGCAGCUAAGUGUCCUUUAAUCGAUGUCAUCGUUGGAGGACACACGCACACGUUCCUCUACUCGGGAACACCUCCCUUUAUCGACGUCCCUGAGGACAAGUAUCCUGUGGUGGUUGUACAAGAAAAUACCAACAGAAACGUGUUGAUCGUUCAAGCAGCAGCUUACACCAAGUACCUGGGAAACUUGACGGUAUGGUUCGACGAGGAUGGCGAGGUUGUUCAGUGGGCUGGAAAUCCGAUUCUUCUUGAUCAAUCCAUCGAGCAAGAUCCUGAAAUGGUGAAAGCUUUGGAACCCUGGAAAGAAAGCGUAGACGAGAAAGCAUCAGCCUCGAUAGCUUACUCGAGGGUUUUUCUCGACAAUCGCUGUCGCACUAAUGAGUGUAAUUUUGGCAAUUUAAUCACGGACGCUAUGGUGGAUUCUUACGUGGAACAGGCAGAGAAUCCGAACGUUUGGACAUACGCUGCAGUAGCGUGUACAAAUCCUGGAGGAAUUCGUACUUCUAUUGAUUCCAUGGGUCGGAACAUCACUUUAGGUGAUUUAAUAACAGCCAUUCCAUUCGAAAACACGUGGGACAUUCUUGAACUAAAAGGCAGCUGUAUCAUGCAGAUCCUAGAAAUGAAACAGACUUUAAUAUGGUCAGGACUAAAAGCAACUUAUAAGAUGAAUGACACUUCCAAAAACGUGGUGGAUGUUAAAAUACGAUGCCGAGAGUGUGAAGUGCCAAGGUUCGAAAAUGUAGUGGAAGAUAAAUGGUACAGGAUAGUGGUUCCAAAUUUUUUGGUCGAUGCGGGUGAUGGAUUCGAUCCUUUCAAAACCUGCGGCAAAAAUCACAAAGUCGGAUAUCUCGAAUCCGAUCUAUUGGCAGCGUACAUGAAGAAAAUCAGCCCGAUAUUAACCGGAAACGAUGGACGAGCUGUUUUUCUAAAUGUUGUCAAAUCGAAGAGAUCAGAAAAUUUCUUGUAGAUUAUAAAAUUUAGUUGAAAAGUACAUCGUUAACAAAAACUUUUCGUUGCAUGCUUGUUUCAAACGAAUGGAGAGUACAUAAUAAAUCUUACGCUCUAAUUAUGUUUGCUACCUUUCUCUAGCACGAUCUACUGGUAGCGAUAACAAUCUUUUUUGUAAAUACGUAUCCAAGCGUUUUAAGUACGUUUUCUAAUCGGGAAACUCUUAAAGAACGUAAGCACGAUAAUAAUAGGAUAUGAAAUCGUACAGCGUAGCGAUAGCGCAGUUUCCAAGAGAAGAAAGGCCAGAUGUAUUCGUGUGAUGGUUUAAUUUGGCGAGCUUGUUCGCCAAAGGAAAAACCUCGAGAAAGAAGCGGCGACGAAAAUCUCGCGUGAUAUCGUCGUGAAAGCAGGAAACGUUUGGGCGCUUAUCUCGCGGUAUCUUGACAUCACGGCAGGUGAAGCAUUUAAAUAAUAUAUCGAACAGGUGAAAUAGCAGCUGUUCGUCUGCAUCGUUGCCCUCCGCCAGAACGCGUGAAUCGCUUUGGAGUGCCGCGAGAAUGUUUCUUUUUACACACGAAAUUCGCUUUACGCACUCUUUUCUCAUCGUGACAUAGUUCCGUCCUUCUUUCCGUACUUUUAUCGCCUUUCUCUCACGAAAAUCUAACGAGUUCGAUCGAUUAUCUUUCUAGUUUCAGAGUGCCGGAAAGAUUGAAGGCAGAAGGAUGGCAAUCAAAUUUCAAUUUGCAUUGUAAAAGUUAUAACGGAGGUAACGAAGGACAUUAGUAGACGAAUUAUGACGAUUAAUUGAAGCAAUAAUGUCUGGCCGUGACUGAUACGAGCAGUAAUAUACACCAAAAGGAGAGGAGAAUAUAUGACAACCCGACAGCUGCUUCUCGAUUCCUGAAAUUCCUGUGUUCAUCCACGAACCGUCCAGCAACUACCUGACCAAUCAUCUAUCUCCAUACCUUCGACAACCUUGUCAAGCAACAACUAGAUCGCCUAACGGGUUACACCGUGUAAGAUAUAAUUUUAUUCGACGAUAAUGCAUUCGAGGUUAACACCUAACCCAUUGUUAUCCACUAAACGUUGCCUCUAUGAAUUUUUAUCUGUGCGUCUUGUUUGUAUUAUGUAACCCUCGUUGGACGCUCCUGGUUGCAUA